AAUCAACGCUGGCGGCGUGCCUCAGACAUGCAAGUCGAACGCGAAAGUCCCCUUCGGGGGACAAGUAGAGUGGCGCACGGGUGAGUAACACGUAGGUAAUCCACCUUCGGAUGGGGAAUAACAACCGGAAACGGUUGCUAAUACCGCAUAAUGCAGCGGCACCUAAUGGUGACAGUUGUUAAAGCGGGGGAUCGAAAGACCUCGCGUCUGAAGAGGAGCCUGCGGCGGAUUAGCAGUUGGUAAGGUAACGGCUUACCAAGGCGACGAUCCGUAGCCGGCCUGAGAGGGCGGUCGGCCACACUGACACUGACAUACGGGUCAGACUCCUACGGGAGGCAGCAGUCGGGAAUUUUGGGCAAUGGGCGAAAGCCUGACCCAGCAACGCCGCGUGAAGGA
RNAcentral lists this ribosomal RNA (396 nucleotides) under uncultured bacterium. RNAcentral's name for it is "bacterial SSU rRNA". It matches the Rfam family "Bacterial small subunit ribosomal RNA", at positions 32 to 408 of the family's 1533-position model. The record is from RNAcentral.